UCUAUCAAAAACACAAAACAAAGUGGUUUGCAUAUUAAUAUAUCCAUCAUUAAGGACUAUUAUAAAAGCAAAAAAUAGGAAAAAAUUACUUUUAAACGGGUAUACACGAUUUGAAAUAGUUUUAAAUCAACACCAACAUUGUCAGAAGUUAUUGUUGUAAAGGAAUAAAGAACUUGUAAAGUCGUUCGUUUACUGGCAACUGGGGGCUUGCAGAUUAAAGUCUACCAUAGUGAUUUGCUACUUGGAGCGAACAAAAAACCCAAUAGCGAUAAUAAAAAACGUAUAGAAGCAUUGUAGAGGGUUUUCGUAACAGACAUGACGCCCUUCGAUGAUUUCGCAUAUCUGAUCAAUCAUGUAUUGUUGGGUGAUGAACCGACAAUCGAGGAUUUCAUACUGCUGGUGGGCACGCUGGUGGCAUUUAUAGCGUUUAUACUCUGGUGUUGUUUUCCCAUACAACCUAAGGAUGGUACUAAUCAUCGACAAUUCUCUUGCAAAUCCCUGCAAAACUCACUUGAGUCUGCACAGGUGCAUAGCAGUUACAGCAAAUUGGCGUAUAAUGAAUACACAAUGAAAAGUGGCGGACAUGUCUAUCAUUGUUGUACUUAAUUAGGUAGUAACGAUGCGUUCUACGUGCGGGCGUUAUAAUUGAAGAAUUAAAAAUGUAAUACAUUUCAAUUUAUGCGGUAGUCGUAGCGAAGCGAAAAAUUAUAAAAAAAAACGCGCUAAAGUAUUUAGCAUAGUAAAACAAAAUGAAUUUCAUGGAAAGAGUGAGCCAACUACCCAAAAUGCAGUAUGAAUGUUUGUCGUCUCUUGUGUGUGCGGUUGGUGAAAGCAGUUUCAAGAUUUAUGUAUGUUGUUGCGGCGAAAAUUAUUUUUUG
This 878-nucleotide unclassified non-coding RNA is filed under the name Bactrocera latifrons. Its description in RNAcentral is "uncharacterized LOC108973938, transcript variant X1". The record is from RNAcentral. Lineage: Eukaryota; Metazoa; Arthropoda; Insecta; Diptera; Tephritidae.